ACAUGGUGGAGGGUCCCAGAGCUGGGGUGGGGGGAGCUGAGGGGGGAGCUCUGUUUUGGGGGGAGUCUCUGAGAGUUUUGUAGGUUCCUAAAGGGGUUUGGGGGUCCCUGGGGGGGUCUGUGAGGGGUUUCGGUGUCCCUAAAGGGAUUUGGGGGUCUCUGAGGGUCUGGGGGUGUUGGGGGGAGGUUUUGGGGGUCCCUGACCCCCCGUGCCCCCCAGCUCAGCGGGCAGCUCUCGCCCCGGCUGUUCCGGAAGCUUCCGCCGCGCGUCUGCGUCACCCUCAAGAGCAUCGUGGACGAGGAGUUCCUGUUGGCAGGGCACAUCUUCCUGGGCUUCUCCAAGUGCGGCCGCUACGUCCUGUCCUACACCAGCAGCUCCGGGGACGACGACUUCUCCUUCUACCUGUACCACCUGUACUGGUGGGAGUUCAACGUGCACAGCAAGCUGCGCCUGGUGCGCCAGGUGCGGCUGUUCCAGGACGAGGAGAUCUACAGCGACCUGUACCUGACGGUGUGCGAGUGGCCCGGCGACAGCGACAAGGUCAUCGUCUUCGGCUUCAAGUGGGUGGCAGCCGCCCC
Molecule: long non-coding RNA, 578 nt
Filed under: Chloebia gouldiae (Gouldian finch)
Lineage: Eukaryota; Metazoa; Chordata; Aves; Passeriformes; Passeridae
Description: Erythrura gouldiae (Gouldian finch) lncRNA (ENSEGOG00005018643.1)
Source: RNAcentral